Salvia miltiorrhiza (redroot sage) is the source of this 835-nucleotide long non-coding RNA. RefSeq lists it as uncharacterized. The record is from RefSeq and is a predicted model, not a curated record. NCBI's taxonomy places the organism in Eukaryota, Viridiplantae, Streptophyta, Magnoliopsida, Lamiales, Lamiaceae. The transcript is spliced from 3 exons.
UAUUUGAUCACCUUUCACACACUUUAUUUAAUUACCCAUACCAUAUGUUAUAUGCCUAAAUUUUGCUAAGUAUGGAAUUGAGAGAGUAGAGAAUUGAGAGUAUGAGAUGGAGAGUGUAGAGAUUAGAGAGAGAUUAGAGUGAGAGAGAGAUCAUCCAUUAAUUAGCAAAUAUUCUCUAAGAUAUCAAAUCCUCUUUAAAGAUUCACAAAUCUUUACAAGAUUAGCAAAAUCCUCAAAAAUCUUGCUAGAUAAUUCUCUCUCUCCCUCCACCCAUUUUCGAGCUCUCUCUCUCUCCCCUUCAUCUCUCUAUUUUUCCACCAUUUUCCUCCAUUGAUGCACCUUCGAAGCUUCUCAAAUUCAUACCAAAAACUCAAAUCACCCUCUAAAUCCACCCUAAACACCUCUUAUCAACUUAAAUCCAAGAGAAUCCUUGAAGAUUGGUUUCAAGAAUAGUGAGAGAAAAUUUGGAUAAUUGGUGAAAACUUGGACACAAGCAGAGCAAGGAAGUAAGUAACUCCGCUUUGACGGGAGUUUUUGAGUAAGGUCUUCAGGCUAAGCGAGGAGUGAGAUUGGUCUGGUGCUGGUGGGGGAUCGUUAGAUGACGUAUUUGCUUUAUCGUAUUUCUUUUUUUUAUCGAUAAAGUCUUGAUGUGAAGUUACUUCGAAUAUGAAUCAAGUAAUAUACUCACGGUUAUGUGUCUCCAUACAUGUAACCGGUUCGCCUUUUGCUGCGGCACUCUGCAUUUUAUGUUUCCUUAUGAAAAAUAAGCUAUACCUGUUUUGUUUUUGUUCGUGAAAUUCCUGAUAAUUAAAAAGUUAUAACGACGUUGACGAUU